UAUUAGAUAGGUAACUCUGUGUUGUAUUAGAUAGGUAACUCUGUGUUGUAUUAGAUAGGUAACUCUGUGUUGUAUUAGAUAGGUAACUCUGUGUUGUAUUAGAUAGGUAACUCUGUGUUGUAUUAGAUAGGUAACUCUGUGUUGUAUUAGAUAAUUAACUCUGUGUUGUAUUAGAUAAUUAACUCUGUGUUGUACUAGAUAGGUAACUCUAAAUCAUAUUACUGUCUGUGGGCACACAUCGUAUUCUCGGCCUAAAUCAUUAUAUUCAUGUUACUGUGUGUUAACAUGAGGAAGAGGUUCUAUUCGUGUUACUGUGUGUUAACAUGAGGAAGAGGUUCUAUUCGUGUUACUGUGUGUUAACAUGAGGAAGAGAUCCUAUUCAUGUUACUGUGUGUUAACAUGAGGUUCUAUUCAUGUUACUGUGUGUUAACAUGAGGUUCUAUUCAUGUUACUGUGUGUUAAUGUGAGGAAGAGGUUCUAUUCAUGUUACUGUGUGUUAACAUGAGGAAGAGGUUCUAUUCAUGUUACUGUGUGUUAACAUGAGGAAGAGGUUCUAUUCAUGUUACUGUGUGUUAACGUGAGGAAGAGGUUCUAUUCAUGUUACUGUGUGUUAAUGUGAGGAAGAGGUUCUAUUCAUGUUACUGUGUGUUAACAUGAGGAAGAGGUUCUAUUCAUGUUACUGUGUGUUAACGUGAGGAAGAGGUUCUAUUCAUGUUACUGUGUGUUAACAUGAGGUUCUAUUCAUGUUACUGUGUGUUAACAUGAGGUUCUAUUCAUGUUACUGUGUGUUAAUGUGAGGAAGAGGUUCUAUUCAUGUUACUGUGUGUUAACAUGAGGUUCUAUUCAUGUUACUGUGUGUUAACAUGAGGUUCUAUUCAUGUUACUGUGUGUUAACGUGAGGAAGAGGUUCUAUUCAUGUUACUGUGUGUUAACGUGAGGAAGAGGUUCUAUUCAUGUUACUGUGUGUUAACGUGAGGAAGAGGUUCUAUUCAUGUUACUGUGUGUUAACAUGAGGAAGAGGUUCUAUUCAUGUUACUGUGUGUUAACGUGAGGAAGAGGUUCUAUUCAUGUUACUGUGUGUUAAUGUGAGGAAGAGGUUCUAUUCAUGUUACUGUGUGUUAACGUGAGGAAGAGGUUCUAUUCAUGUUACUGUGUGUUAACGUGAGGAAGAGGUUCUAUUCAUGUUACUGUGUGUUAACAUGAGGAAGAGGUUCUAUUCAUGUUACUGUGUGUUAACAUGAGGUUCUAUUCAUGUUACUGUGUGUUAACAUGAGGAAGAGGUUCUAUUCAUGUUACUGUGUGUUAACGUGAGGAAGAGGUUCUAUUCAUGUUACUGUGUGUUAACAUGAGGUUCUAUUCAUGUUACUGUGUGUUAACAUGAGGAAGAGGUUCUAUUCGUGUUACUGUGUGUUAACAUGAGGAAGAGGUUCUAUUCGUGUUACUGUGUGUUAACAUGAGGUUCUAUUCAUGUUACUGUGUGUUAACGUGAGGAAGAGGUUCUAUUCGUGUUACUGUGUGUUAACAUGAGGUUCUAUUCAUGUUACUGUGUGUUAACAUGAGGUUCUAUUCAUGUUACUGUGUGUUAACAUGAGGAAGAGGUUCUAUUCAUGUUACUGUGUGUUAAUGUGAGGAAGAGGUUCUAUUCAUGUUACUGUGUGUUAAUGUGAGGAAGAGGUUCUAUUCAUGUUACUGUGUGUUAACGUGAGGAAGAGGUUCUAUUCAUGUUACUGUGUGUUAACGUGAGGAAGAGGUUCUAUUCAUGUUACUGUGUGUUAACAUGAGGAAGAGGUUCUAUUCAUGUUACUGUGUGUUAACAUGAGGAAGAGGUUCUAUUCAUGUUACUGUGUGUUAACGUGAGGAAGAGGUUCUAUUCAUGUUACUGUGUGUUAACAUGAGGUUCUAUUCAUGUUACUGUGUGUUAACAUGAGGUUCUAUUCAUGUUACUGUGUGUUAAUGUGAGGAAGAGGUUCUAUUCAUGUUACUGUGUGUUAACAUGAGGUUCUAUUCAUGUUACUGUGUGUUAACAUGAGGUUCUAUUCAUGUUACUGUGUGUUAACGUGAGGAAGAGGUUCUAUUCAUGUUACUGUGUGUUAACGUGAGGAAGAGGUUCUAUUCAUGUUACUGUGUGUUAACGUGAGGAAGAGGUUCUAUUCAUGUUACUGUGUGUUAACGUGAGGAAGAGGUUCUAUUCAUGUUACUGUGUGUUAAUGUGAGGAAGAGGUUCUAUUCAUGUUACUGUGUGUUAACAUGAGGAAGAGGUUCUAUUCAUGUUACUGUGUGUUAACGUGAGGAAGAGGUUCUAUUCAUGUUACUGUGUGUUAACGUGAGGAAGAGGUUCUAUUCAUGUUACUGUGUGUUAACAUGAGGUUCUAUUCAUGUUACUGUGUGUUAACAUGAGGAAGAGGUUCUAUUCAUGUUACUGUGUAUUAAUGUGAGGAAGAGGUUCUAUUCAUGUUACUGUGUGUUAACAUGAGGUUCUAUUCAUGUUACUGUGUGUUAAUGUGAGGAAGAGGUUCUAUUCAUGUUACUGUGUGUUAAUGUGAGGAAGAGGUUCUAUUCAUGUUACUGUGUGUUAACAUGAGGUUCUAUUCAUGUUACUGUGUGUUAAUGUGAGGAAGAGGUUCUAUUCAUGUUACUGUGUGUUAAUGUGAGGAAGAGGUUCUAUUCAUGUUACUGUGUGUUAACAUGAGGUUCUAUUCAUGUUACUGUGUGUUAAUGUGAGGAAGAGGUUCUAUUCAUGUUACUGUGUUAAUGUGAGGAAGAGGUUCUAUUCAUUAUUUAACAGCCCUGCAGGUCCAGAGAAUCCAGCAGAUUCCCUAAUGGAUGUAAACAGAUUAACACACACAGCUGGAUACCAAGCACACACACUGUCUAGAUGAGCACACUGUAGCAGGGAUUAUGGGUAAUCCUCCAAUCUUACUUCCUCUGGUGAAUCACAC
Molecule: long non-coding RNA, 2939 nt
Organism: Oncorhynchus keta (chum salmon)
Lineage: Eukaryota; Metazoa; Chordata; Actinopteri; Salmoniformes; Salmonidae
Exons: 9
Source: RefSeq, a predicted model, not a curated record